CUACACCCCUGAUUUUUACAACCUCAUAACCCCUAGGGCCCUGUAUAAUUGGUUUUAGGUUGGGGCGACCACGGAGUACAAUAAAACCUCCACAAUGAACGGGACCACCCCCUUAUCUAAGAGCUACCUCUCUAAGAAUUAAAAUAUUAACAUAAAAUGAUCCAUUUUUUGAUCAAUGAACCAAGUUACCCUGGGGAUAACAGCGCAAUCCAUUUCAAGAGCCCCUAUCGACAAAUGGGUUUACGACCUCGAUGUUGGAUCAGGGUAUCCCGGUGGUGCAGCAGCUACUAAUGGUUCGUUUGUUCAACGAUA
RNAcentral lists this ribosomal RNA (312 nucleotides) under Mantidactylus pauliani. RNAcentral's name for it is "partial large subunit ribosomal RNA". It matches the Rfam family "Bacterial large subunit ribosomal RNA", at positions 2197 to 2589 of the family's 2925-position model. The record is from RNAcentral. Lineage: Eukaryota; Metazoa; Chordata; Amphibia; Anura; Mantellidae.